GGUUGGAUCACCUCCUUAACCGAAGCUCAAUCGAGUAAGUGUUCACACAAAUUGUUUGAUGAAGUAGAAAGACAAGAGUUCUUUAAAAAUUGAGAAAUAAUUGUGACAAGCAUCAAUAUAGUAGCGUUAUAUUGAAAGAUCGUAUCUAAGAUAUAUUAAGAAUAUUUUGGGUUAUAUGGUCAAGAGAAUAAGCGUGCACGGUGGAUGCCUUGGCAGUCAGAGGCGAUGAAGGACGUAGUAACCUGCGAUAAGCAUCGGUUAGCUGGUAAACAAGCUAUGAUCCGGUGAUUUCCGAAUGGGGGAACCCACUUACCAUAAGGUAGGUAUUACUUAUCUGAAUACAUAGGACAAGUAAAGCGAACCCGGGGAACUGAAACAUCUAAGUACCCGGAGGAAAAGAAAUCAAAUGAGAUUCCGUUAGUAGCGGCGAGCGAAAGCGGAUCAGCCCUUAAGUACUAUCAUUUCUAGCAGAAUAUUUUGGGAAGAGUAGCCAUAGAGGGUGAUAGCCCCGUAUGUGAAAGUGGUGAUAGUAUGAAAACGAGUAGGACGGGACACGUGAAAUCUUGUCUGAACAUGGGGGGACCAUCCUCCAAGGCUAAAUACUACUGACUGACCGAUAGUGAACCAGUACCGUGAGGGAAAGGCGAAAAGAACCCCUUUUAGGGGAGUGAAAUAGAUCCUGAAACCGUGUACGUACAAGCAGUGGAAGCCGUUUAUUUUUAGGAAUAGAGGGUGACUGCGUACCUUUUGUAUAAUGGGUCAGCGACUUACUUUUAGUGGCAAGCUUAACCGAUAGGGGAAGCGUAGGGAAACCGAGUCUUAAUAGGGCGAAUUAGUCGCUAGGAGUAGACCCGAAACCGGGCGAUCUAUCCAUGAGCAGGUUGAAGGUUGAGUAACAUCAACUGAAGGACCGAACCCACCGUCGUUGAAAAGCCGGGGGAUGACUUGUGGAUCGGAGUGAAAGGCUAAUCAAGCCCGGAGAUAGCUGGUUCUCCUCGAAAGCUAUUUAGGUAGCGCCUCACAUCUCACCCACGGGGGUAGAGCACUGUGCCGACUAGGGGCCCAUCCCGGGUUACCAAAUCGAUGCAAACUUCGAAUACCGUGGAGUGCAAUUGUGGGAGACAGACAGCGGGUGCUAACGUCCGUUGUCAAAAGGGAAACAACCCAGACCGCCAGCUAAGGUCCCAAAGUAUGGUUAAGUGGGAAACGAUGUGGAAAGGCUUAGACAGCCAGGAGGUUGGCUUAGAAGCAGCCAUCCUUUAAAGAAAGCGUAAUAGCUCACUGGUCGAGUCGGUCUGCGCGGAAGAUGUAACGGGGCUAAACCAUACACCGAAGCUGCGGGCAUACAUAGUAUGCGGUAGAGGAGCGUUCUGUAGGCUGAUGAAGGUCAAGCUGUAAGGCAGGCUGGAGGUAUCAGAAGUGCGAAUGCUGACAUGAGUAACGAUAAAGGGGGUGAGAAACCCCCUCGCCGUAAGNCCAAGGUUUCNUGCGCUACGCUAAUCGGCGCAGGGUGAGUCGGCCCCUAAGGUGAGGUCGAAAGACGUAAUCGAUGGGAAACAGGUUAAUAUUCCUGUA
This 1575-nucleotide small RNA is filed under the name uncultured Oceanospirillales bacterium. RNAcentral's name for it is "bacterial LSU rRNA". The stretch from base 178 to 1575 matches the Rfam family "Bacterial large subunit ribosomal RNA", at positions 1 to 1443 of the family's 2925-position model. Lineage: Bacteria; Pseudomonadati; Pseudomonadota; Gammaproteobacteria; Oceanospirillales. The record is from RNAcentral.